UUCCGGUUGAUCCCGCCGGACCCCACUGCUAUCGGGAUAGGACUAAGACAUGCUAGUCGUGUGCCUCAGCCAAAACGAGGCACGGCGCACAGCUCAGUAACACGUGGCUAACCUGCCCUUAGGACGAGAAUAACCCCGGGAAACUGGGGCUAAUGCUCGAUAGGUGAAGAACUCUGGAAUGAGUCUUCACUUAAAAGAGUCUGCGUUAUGCUCGUAGAUUUCGCUUAAGGAUGGGGCCGCGACCGAUCAGGUUGUUGGUGAGGUAAUGGCUCACCAAGCCUUUUACCGGUGCGGGCCGUGAGAGCGGGAGCCCGGAGAUGGGCACUGAGACAAGGGCCCAGGCCCUACGGGGCGCAGCAGUCGCGAAAACUUUGCAAUACACGAAAGUGUGACAGGGCUAUCCCGAGUGCCAUCCGCUGAGGAAGGCUUUUACCCAGUCUAGAAAGCUGGGGGAAUAAGGAGAGGGCAAGUCUGGUGUCAGCCGCCGCGGUAAUACCAGCUCUCCGAGUGGUGUGGAUGUUUAUUGGGCCUAAAGCAUCCGUAGCUGGCUAAGUUAGUCCCCUGUUAAAUCCAACGAAUUAAUCGUUGGAUCGCGGGGGAUACUGCUUGGCUAGGGGACGAGAGAGGCAGACGGUAUUUCCGGGGUAGGGGUGAAAUCCUAUAAUCCCGGGAAGACCACCAGUGGUGAAGGCUGUCUGCUAGAACGCGCCCGACGGUGAGGGAUGAAAGCUGGGGGAGCGAACCGGAUUAGAUACCCGGGUAGUCCCAGCUGUAAACGAUGCAGGCUAGGUGUUUGGACGGCCACGUGCCGUUCUAGUGCCGCAGGGAAGCUGUUAAGCCUGCCGCCUGGGGAGUACGAUCGCAAGAUUGAAACUUAAAGGAAUUGGCGGGGGAGCACCACAAGGCGUAAGCUCGGUAAUGGAUCAACGCCGGA
RNAcentral lists this ribosomal RNA (934 nucleotides) under uncultured crenarchaeote. RNAcentral describes it as "bacterial SSU rRNA". It matches the Rfam family "Archaeal small subunit ribosomal RNA", at positions 1 to 922 of the family's 1478-position model. The record is from RNAcentral. Lineage: Archaea; Thermoproteati; Thermoproteota.